This 471-nucleotide ribosomal RNA is filed under the name uncultured bacterium. RNAcentral's name for it is "bacterial SSU rRNA". It matches the Rfam family "Bacterial small subunit ribosomal RNA", at positions 335 to 802 of the family's 1533-position model. The record is from RNAcentral.
ACUCCUACGGGAGGCAGCAGUGGGGAAUAUUGCACAAUGGGGGAAACCCUGAUGCAGCCAUGCCGCGUGUGUGAAGAAGGCCUUCGGUUGUAAAGCACUUUCAGUAGGGAGGAAGGUAGUGUAGUUAACACCUGCAUUAUUUGACGUUACCUACAGAAGAAGCACCGGCUAACUCCGUGCCAGCAGCCGCGGUAAUACGGAGGGUGCGAGCGUUAAUCGGAAUUACUGGGCGUAAAGCGCAUGCAGGCGGCCUGUUAAGUCAGAUGUGAAAGCCCGGGGCUUAACCUCGGAAUUGCAUUUGAAACUGGCAGGCUAGAGUCUUGUAGAGGGGGUAGAAUUUCAGGUGUAGCGGUGAAAUGCGUAGAGAUCUGAAGGAAUACCAGUGGCGAAGGCGGCCCCUCGGACAAAGACUGACGCUCAGAUGCGAAAGCGUGGGGAGCAAACAGGAUUAGAUACCCUGGUAGACUGUCA